GCGCAGCAGGCGCGAAACUUCACAAUGUGCGAAAGCACGAUGAGGGAAUCCCAAGUGCUUGCACGUAAGUGUAAGCUGUUUCUCUGUCUAAAACGCAGAGAGAGUAAGGGCUGGGUAAGACGGGUGCCAGCCGGCCGCGGUAAUACCUGCAGCUCGAGUGGUGGCCGUUAUUAUUGGGCCUAAAACGUCCGUAGCCAGUUUAAUAAAUGCCUGGGUAAAUCGGACCGCUUAACGGUUCGAAUUCCGGGUAGACUGUUAAACUUGAGACCGGGAGAAGUUAGAGGUACUCCUGGGGUAGAGGUGAAAUUCUGUAAUCCUAGGGGGACCACCAGUGGCGAAGGCGUCUAACUAGAACGGGUCUGACGGUGAGGGACGAAGCCCUGGGGCGCAGACGGGAUUAGAUACCCGUGUAGU
This 414-nucleotide ribosomal RNA is filed under the name uncultured microorganism. RNAcentral describes it as "bacterial SSU rRNA". It matches the Rfam family "Archaeal small subunit ribosomal RNA", at positions 330 to 745 of the family's 1478-position model. The record is from RNAcentral.